RNAcentral lists this ribosomal RNA (502 nucleotides) under uncultured bacterium. RNAcentral describes it as "partial 16S ribosomal RNA". It matches the Rfam family "Bacterial small subunit ribosomal RNA", at positions 30 to 523 of the family's 1533-position model. The record is from RNAcentral.
AUUGAACGCUGGCGGCAUGCUUUACACAUGCAAGUCGAACGGCAGCAUAGGUGCUUGCACCUGAUGGCGAGUGGCGAACGGGUGAGUAAUACAUCGGAACGUGCCCAGUCGUGGGGGAUAACGUAGCGAAAGUUACGCUAAUACCGCAUACGAUCUAAGGAUGAAAGCGGGGGACCGUAAGGCCUCGCGCGAUUGGAGCGGCCGAUGUCAGAUUAGGUAGUUGGUGAGGUAAAGGCUCACCAAGCCGACGAUCUGUAGCUGGUCUGAGAGGACGACCAGCCACACUGGGACUGAGACACGGCCCAGACUCCUACGGGAGGCAGCAGUGGGGAAUUUUGGACAAUGGACGCAAGUCUGAUCCAGCCAUUCCGCGUGCAGGACGAAGGCCUUCGGGUUGUAAACUGCUUUUGUACGGAACGAAAAAGCUCUUACUAAUACUAGGAGUCCAUGACGGUGCCGUAAGAAUAAGCACCGGCUAACUACGUGCCAGCCGCCGCCGUAA